Molecule: ribosomal RNA, 467 nt
Filed under: uncultured bacterium
Lineage: Bacteria
Description: partial 16S ribosomal RNA
Rfam family: Bacterial small subunit ribosomal RNA
Source: RNAcentral
GACGAACGCUGGCGGCGUGCUUAACACAUGCAAGUCGAACGGAAAGGCCCUGCUGUUGUGGGGUGCUCGAGUGGCGAACGGGUGAGUAACACGUGAGUAACCUGCCCUUGACUUUGGGAUAACUUCAGGAAACUGGGGCUAAUACCGGAUAGGAGCUCCUGCUGCACGGUGGGGGUUGGAAAGUUUGGGCGGGUGGGGAUGGACUCGCGGCUUAUCAGCUUGUUGGUGGGGUAGUGGCUUACCAAGGCUUUGACGGGUAGCCGGCCUGCGAGGGUGACCGGCCACAUUGGGAAUGAGUUACGGCCCAGACUCCUACGGGAGGUAGAAGCGGGGAAUAUCGCCAAAUGGGCGGAAGCAUGCUGCAUCAACGCCGCGUGCGGGAAGACGGCCUUCGUGGUGGACACCGCUUUCGCCUGUGACGAAUCGUGAGUGACGGUAAUGGGCAAAGAAGCACCGGCUACCCACGU